UACGAGGGGUCCAAGCGUUAUUCGGAAUUACUGGGCGUAAAGCGCGUGUAGGCGGCUCGGCAAGUCGGGUGUGAAAGCCCUGGGCUUAACCUAGGAAGUGCACUCGAAACUGCCAAGCUUGAGUUCUGGAGAGGAAGGCGGAAUUCUCGGUGUAGAGGUGAAAUUCGUAGAUAUCGAGAGGAACACCGGUGGCGAAGGCGGCCUUCUGGACAGCAACUGACGCUGAGACGCGAAAGCGUGGGGAGCAAACAGG
Molecule: ribosomal RNA, 253 nt
Filed under: uncultured bacterium
Lineage: Bacteria
Description: partial 16S ribosomal RNA
Rfam family: Bacterial small subunit ribosomal RNA
Source: RNAcentral